CCUGCCGGACCUGACUGCUAUCGGAUUGAUACUAAGCCAUGCGAGUCAUUGUAGCAAUACAAGGCAGACGGCUCAGUAACGCGUAGUCAACCUACCCUAUGGACGGGAAUAACCUCGGGAAACUGAGUAUAAUGCCCGAUAGAUCAUAAUGCCUGGAAUGGUUUAUGGUUAAAAUGAUUCGUCGCCAUAGGAUGGGACUGCGGCCUAUCAGCUUGUUGGUGAGGUAAUGGCCCACCAAGGCGAUUACAGGUACGGGCUCUGAGAGGAGAAGCCCGGAGAUGGGUACUGAGACACGGACCCAGGCCCUAUGGGGCGCAGCAGGCGAGAAAACUUUGCAAUGUGCGAAAGCACGACAAGGUUAAUCCGAGUGAUUUCUGCUAAAGAAAUCUUUUGCCAGUCGUAAAACCGCUGGUGAAUAAGGGGUGGGCAAGUUCUGGUGUCAGCCGCCGCGGUAAAACCAGCACCUCAAGUGGUCAGGAUGAUUAUUGGGCCUAAAGCAUCCGUAGCCGGCUUUGUAAGUUUUCGGUUAAAUCUAUGUGCUCAACGCAUGGGCUGCCGAAAAUACUGCAUAGCUAGGGAGUGGGAGAGGUAGACGGUACUCAGUAGGUAGGGGUAAAAUCCUUUGAUCUAUUGAUGACCACCUGUGGCGAAGGCGGUCUACCAGAACACGUUCGACGGUGAGGGAUGAAAGCUGGGGGAGCAAACCGGAUUAGAUACCCGGGUAGUCCCAGCUGUAAACGAUGCAGACUAGAUGAUGCAUUGGCAUAAUAGCCAUUGCAGUGUCUCAGGGAAGCCGUUAAGUCUGCCGCCUGGGAAGUACGUACGCAAGUAUGAAACUUAAAGGAAUUGGCGGGGGAGCACCA
RNAcentral lists this ribosomal RNA (863 nucleotides) under uncultured marine group I thaumarchaeote. RNAcentral describes it as "SSU rRNA". It matches the Rfam family "Archaeal small subunit ribosomal RNA", at positions 13 to 881 of the family's 1478-position model. The record is from RNAcentral. Lineage: Archaea; Thermoproteati; Nitrososphaerota.